CUACGUCACUGGUGCCGUAUCAGCCAAUGCAUUCUACAUGUCCUAGCUGCUUCUACACUGCGUCGAUCUUCUGUAAAUGCAUUAUCUGGUAUGUAACUCAGUGACGCCU
This 109-nucleotide microRNA precursor is filed under the name Capitella teleta. RNAcentral's name for it is "microRNA cte-mir-277a precursor". Its record names the gene cte-mir-277a. Lineage: Eukaryota; Metazoa; Annelida; Polychaeta; Capitellidae. The record is from miRBase by way of RNAcentral.